AGCGAUAGACAAAUGGAUCACGAGUUGUCAGUAAGGCCUUGUAGAUGGCCUAAAGCAGACAUAUUGUGAUGUAAUGAGCCAGGUAACAUCAGAACUUCAUUACCCAGCAUGCACAGUAGACCCGUUUAGCCAUGCCAGCAGCGAGAUGUGUUUGAUUAGCACGCUGUGGAGUUAACUUUAAGAAGUCAGCCAACACGCCUCGUCUGUAUCUUUUAUUAUUGGAAGACAACACAUAUUUACAAGGCCAUUUUCAAGAAGGAUAUUCAAGGAGAAACUACAUCUUGUCGGCUAACACUGGAAGCUCGAAUGGAUUCUACAAAUUAGCCUGAGGAGAACAUCGGCCAGGAAGAAGAAGGAGAUGACGAGGGACACCGUCUCCAGAGAGUUUCCAACCCCUCUGCUCCUGGCCGGCAGGGAAAUGUCCACAAUGACCAGUACGAUGUCAACGAGGAUCAGUACUACUCCAAAUACACUGAGGAAGAAUGAAAAGACUUCAUAUUACCCUUCGAAAUUAGACAGUACUAUUUCAAAAGUUCCAAAAGACACUCACCGGAAUCCAAAGGACAUAACAAAGGGAGUAAUCUUCUUCCGGAUAUUGCUGCAAAAUUAGAUAAAAUCCUCAUUAUUAGCAUUUUACCAUUAAAAUUUCCAAAGUCAAAAAGAAUCUGUUCUGUUUAACAUUUUAUUAUGAGAAAACUAAAAUUCUGAAAAUGUCAUGUUCUUGUGUUUUUUCAUAAUUAAGCUCAAUAAAACAAAACAAAAAUA
Long non-coding RNA from Nerophis ophidion (straightnose pipefish), 765 nucleotides. RefSeq lists it as uncharacterized. The transcript is spliced from 2 exons. The record is from RefSeq and is a predicted model, not a curated record. Lineage: Eukaryota; Metazoa; Chordata; Actinopteri; Syngnathiformes; Syngnathidae.